Manis pentadactyla (Chinese pangolin) is the source of this 773-nucleotide long non-coding RNA. RefSeq lists it as uncharacterized. The record is from RefSeq and is a predicted model, not a curated record. Lineage: Eukaryota; Metazoa; Chordata; Mammalia; Pholidota; Manidae. The transcript has 4 exons.
UCCAGGCAGCCUCCCCUCCGCUCCAGCCGCUGCCGGCUCCGAGCUCUCUGAAAGCCCCUUCAGGCAGUCAGCAUGUCACAGGGCCCAGAAGCCCCUUGCUGGUCCCAUCCAGCCUCAGGCUGCAGCUGUGGUCUCCACCUCUACAUGCAAAUGGCUCCUGCAUGUGCCCAGCCCAGCCCUCUGAGUCUUCAGUCUGCUUGCCGGUCUGCAUCUGGAUGUGGAGUCUGCACUGCGAAUUUCAGUUGUCCAAACCUGCCCUGCUCAUCUCCUUCAAGACCGGCUCCUUCUCAUUGCAGCUGAUGACAACUCCAUCCUUCCAGAUGGUCAAGCCAAAAGCCAGUUCUCUUGUUGCAGCUGCUGCAGGCACAUUGGGAUGGGCACAUUCUAAGGCGAAGCUGAGCUGGGUGCACUGCGGUUGGGAUGAGUAGUUUUCGUGCCACCUGCUAUAAUGGCAGGAGACCCAGGACAUGCUGAGCCUUGGAGCCAAGCCUGAUAACUUGCUUCAGCCACGAAAAACCAACAAACAUUGAAAGCUUUUUCCUUGUUUGAACAACUGGGAUCUGAGUUCAUCUGAAGAACUUGCUGCAAACAUGGAAACUGGAUGGAGACCAGGGGGAGAUGCUAUUUUCCCAUUGCUGCUUGGAUGGGGGGUCUCAUCCAUUCCUUGAGGACAUGCCGAGACCCUGAGCUCACUUUGAGGGGGAGUCAUAUGGCUUCUUAAAACCAGAGUGCUGAACUCUACUUCAUUUUUGCCAAGAAUAAAUUCUCUGUGU